CCUACGGGUGGCAGCAGUGGGGAAUAUUGGACAAUGGGGGGAACCCUGAUCCAGCCAUGCCGCGUGUGUGAAGAAGGCCCUCGGGUUGUAAAGCACUUUCAGUGAGGAAGAACGCCUGGUGGUUAAUACCCAUCAGGAAAGACAUCACUCACAGAAGAAGCACCGGCUAACUCCGUGCCAGCAGCCGCGGUAAUACGGAGGGUGCGAGCGUUAAUCGGAAUUACUGGGCGUAAAGCGCGCGUAGGUGGCUUGAUAAGCCGGUUGUGAAAGCCCCGGGCUCAACCUGGGAACGGCAUCCGGAACUGUCAAGCUAGAGUGCAGGAGAGGAAGGUAGAAUUCCCGGUGUAGCGGUGAAAUGCGGAGAGAUCGGGAGGAAUACCAGUGGCGAAGGCGGCCUUCUGGACUGACACUGACACUGAGGUGCGAAAGCGUGGGUAGCAAACAGGAUUAGAUACCCGGGUAGUC
RNAcentral lists this ribosomal RNA (465 nucleotides) under Vreelandella stevensii. RNAcentral describes it as "partial 16S ribosomal RNA". It matches the Rfam family "Bacterial small subunit ribosomal RNA", at positions 338 to 795 of the family's 1533-position model. The record is from RNAcentral. Lineage: Bacteria; Pseudomonadati; Pseudomonadota; Gammaproteobacteria; Oceanospirillales; Halomonadaceae.